GGGAACGUGCGUAGUGGUAAGCGCGCACAUAUAAAAUGUGAGGGGCAAGUUCAAUUCUUGUCGUUCCCACCA
Molecule: transfer RNA, 72 nt
Filed under: Clostridia bacterium
Lineage: Bacteria; Bacillati; Bacillota; Clostridia
Description: tRNA-Leu
Rfam family: tRNA
About the family: Transfer RNA (tRNA) molecules are approximately 80 nucleotides in length.
Source: RNAcentral